RNAcentral lists this ribosomal RNA (624 nucleotides) under Apiotrichum veenhuisii. RNAcentral's name for it is "eukaryotic LSU rRNA". It matches the Rfam family "Eukaryotic large subunit ribosomal RNA", at positions 47 to 663 of the family's 3401-position model. The record is from RNAcentral. Lineage: Eukaryota; Fungi; Basidiomycota; Tremellomycetes; Trichosporonales; Trichosporonaceae.
UAAGCGGAGGAAAAGAAACUAACAAGGAUUCCCUUAGUAACGGCGAGUGAACCGGGAAGAGCUCAAAUUUGAAAUCUGGCUGUCUUCGAUAGUCCGAGUUGUAAUCUAUAGAAGCGUUUUCCGUGCUGAACUGUGUAUAAGUCCCUUGGAACAGGGUAUCAAAGAGGGUGACAAUCCCGUGCUUUACACAAUCAUCAGUGCUCUGUGAUACGCUCUCUACGAGUCGAGUUGUUUGGGAAUGCAGCUCAAAAUGGGUGGUAAAUUCCAUCUAAAGCUAAAUAUUGGCGAGAGACCGAUAGCGAACAAGUACCGUGAGGGAAAGAUGAAAAGCACUUUGGAAAGAGAGUUAAACAGUACGUGAAAUUGUUGAAAGGGAAACGAUUGAAGUCAGUCGUGUUCAUUGGAUUCAGCCGGUCUUCGGUGUACUUCCUUUGAACGGGUCAACAUCAGUUUUGUCCGGUAGAUAAAGGCAGUAGGAAUGUGGCUCCCCCGGGAGUGUUAUAGCCUAUUGUCACAUGUACUGGAGGAGACUGAGGACUGCAGCUCGCCUUUUGGCCGGGGUUCGCCCACGUUCGAGCUUAGGAUGUUGACAUAAUGGCUUUAAACGACCCGUCUUGAAACACG